Molecule: non-coding RNA, 794 nt
Organism: Dermacentor andersoni
Lineage: Eukaryota; Metazoa; Arthropoda; Arachnida; Ixodida; Ixodidae
Source: RefSeq, a predicted model, not a curated record
CGCUCGCGAUAGCCUAUUUGCGUACAAGGUUAGAUAAGACUAGCUGGUCAAAAGACGCCACUUGGCAAGUCGCCUGGAAGCGAUCUGAGGUUGUGAUAGCGCGCUACAAGUGUCCUGGCAUGAAUUCCGGCUCGGCCGGAAUCACAGCGUCUUGGCCGGAGAGAGCUGAUCAACAAAUAUUUGCAGUUCAAUCUUCAAUCGCCACUCAUCAACAGGCACCAAGAACGCAACUAACGCAACUAUGAAGAGAAUUAAGGGGACAUUGGUCGGUGUUCUCCUCUAAGCAGGUCUCUUGGGUGAAUUCCUUGCCCUCGUAGUAUACAGCGCGCGCGAAAUGGCUUUCAAAGCCAACUCGGCGCUCCUAACAGAGGCUCGGCAUUGUCCAGAGAGACCGCUUCCUCCAACGCCGGGCUGCCGACCGGGCACAUCUCCAAGUAGACUGGGCAGACACCCACUCCCUGUGGAACGUGUGGCCCAAACUGGAGGAGGUGGCUCAUUUCGCCGUCCUGUUCGUGGCGAGUUCUGUGCUGGUCGAUCGUGUGUAUCGUGGUGGUAAGCGCUGCGUAUCCCAACAAGCAAAAUGCGCCAAGACCUCCUGGCCACGGAACCGACGAUGUAUCCGAAAUUUCCAGCCAGGAAAAUCUCACUGGAUGAACGCUAGCCUGAGCGUGUCAGUUCGUUCAGAGAGAGAACGUGCGCGCAGGAAGAGUUGGACGACCUGCUACAUCAAAAAAGUGGCCUUUUUAAUACAGCUCGGUAUUGAAUUUGCGCUACUAGCCAAAUUAAAACGUCUG